AUUCGUACGUAAUCACAAACGCCCCGGUGAAUUCGCGGUUUGCGUAAUCUCUCCUUACAGCUAUCGGCUCUCCGCAUCGCUUCGAGGAACGCGCUCGAACGUUGGAGGAAAUCGUUUCCGGCUCUUUAACGUCACGUCUCGCGAAUAGCUACGAUAAUUGGAUAGGAAUAUUGCAAUGUUUUAGAGAUUUUUUUUAUCCGGGCACGAUAAUAAGAAUUCGAAUUUUUCUGCAGAGAUACUUUUUUGGUUUGAAAAGUGAUACGUGUUUUAUUUAGAAUCGAAUUUGUGAUUCUGUUCCGAUAGGAGUAGGAUUUAAUAAAUUUUGAUAAAGAGAAAAAACGGAAAAUUUGUGAAAUGUGCGGAUGAUCGAGUUUGGUGAAUGAGGUUUAAAGCAUUACGGAUCAAGUGUUGCGUUAUUAUUGUUAUGUAAAAUUAAAUUUUAAUGAAUAUAAGGUGUUAUAGAACGCGUACAAUUUUGCAGAUGCAUAUUAUAGAGAUGCAAAUUUAGAUUUCAACUAUAUAAAAUUUCAAGAAAUACAUUAGAAUUUCAAAUAGAACAGUCGCUAUCUGGAGAGGAUCAAGAAUGUUUUCUUGACUGGUGAAGUUUAUAUCUGUCUUUCAAUGCUUGUUGAGGAUGAACUUCAUUACGAUCGUCUUGCAUUUGACUCAAGUUCUAGUGAUAAUUGAUCGUAUAAUAAACACAAUGAAAGAAAGUGUGACGGAAACGGAUCAAUGUACUCACAGUGUGAUCGUCGUUGUAAUUUACACGCAGCAUCGUAUUCUUAUUGUCCGUUUCAAUCCCAUUGAUUUAUAUUAUAAUUAUAAUUCAAAAAGUAUUAAAAAAUUAACACAAAUUAAAUGGAUAUUCACGAAAGUAGCAUCAGAUGAAUUAUUUUAAAUUGUUUUUCUUCGCGUUGAAAUGUACAUGCGUGUUCGACAAUAAAAUGACAAUUGAAGAGUGUAAGAAAGAAACCAAAUACGGAAAUACACGUCAUACUUUCGUGACUUAACAAUUAUUCUUAGAAAAAUAAAUAAUUCUCUCUAUCAUUGUCCAUCAUCCGCACUUCAAUUUAAUUAAAGAAAUAUCAGAUUAAAAAGUCUAAAAAAAA
This is a long non-coding RNA of Apis cerana (Asiatic honeybee), 1109 nucleotides long. RefSeq lists it as uncharacterized. The record is from RefSeq and is a predicted model, not a curated record. Lineage: Eukaryota; Metazoa; Arthropoda; Insecta; Hymenoptera; Apidae.